Molecule: ribosomal RNA, 245 nt
Filed under: uncultured bacterium
Lineage: Bacteria
Description: partial 16S ribosomal RNA
Rfam family: Bacterial small subunit ribosomal RNA
Source: RNAcentral
AGUAACGCGUGGGUAACCUGCCUCAUACAGGGGGAUAACAGUUAGAAAUGGCUGCUAAUACCGCAUAAGCGCACAGUACUGCAUGGUACAGUGUGAAAAACCUUGGUGGUAUGAGAUGGACCCGCGUCUGAUUAGCCAGUUGGCAGGGUAAUGGCCUACCAAAGCGACGAUCAGUAGCCGGCUUGAGAGAGUGACCGGCCACAUUGGGACUGAGACACGGCCCAAACUCCUACGGGAGGCAGCAG